UUUUUGGUGGUUGAUCCCCAGCUCUCCUUCUCUGCCUCAGAUAAAUCCCCAGUAGAUUGGUGGUGGUGGAUUGUACCUGUGAUGGUCUUCUCCCCUGCAGAUAUUUGGUUGAUUUCCUGAUGCUUUUGAUCCCUAGUAGAGUGGCUUGUGUGCAGAAUCUACUUGUGAGAUCUAUUUUCCCUCAGUGGGUUCAUCCCCAUUGGAGUGGCUGACAGUAUCCCCAGUAGAGUUGCU
RNAcentral lists this long non-coding RNA (234 nucleotides) under Lathyrus oleraceus (garden pea). RNAcentral's name for it is "Pisum sativum (pea) long non-coding RNA (PSAT_LNC012764)". The record is from RNAcentral. Lineage: Eukaryota; Viridiplantae; Streptophyta; Magnoliopsida; Fabales; Fabaceae.